UACGUAGGGUCCAAGCGUUGUCCGGAUUUAUUGGGCGUAAAGAGUUCGUAGGUGGUUGCUUAAGUCUGAUGUUAAAUACCGAAGCUUAACUUCGGCAUGGCAUUGGAAACUGGGCGGCUGGAGUCCGUCAGAGGUAACUGGAAUUCCUGGUGUAGCGGUGAAAUGCGUAGAUAUCAGGAGGAACACCGGUGGCGAAGGCGACGUCCUGGACCGGCAUUGACGCUGAGGCGCGAAAGCCAGGGGAGCAAACGGG
This 253-nucleotide ribosomal RNA is filed under the name uncultured bacterium. Its description in RNAcentral is "partial 16S ribosomal RNA". It matches the Rfam family "Bacterial small subunit ribosomal RNA", at positions 524 to 776 of the family's 1533-position model. The record is from RNAcentral.